UACAGAGACCCCGAGCGUUAUCCGGAUUUAUUGGGCGUAAAGAGUCUGUAGGCGUUCUAGCAAGUCUUCCGUCAAAUUCCGGAGCUCAACUCCGUAACUGCGAAAGAUACUUCUAGAAUAGAGGGUGGGGGAGGUAGAUGGAAUUGCCGGUGUAGCGGUAAAAUGCGUUAAUAUCGGCAAGAACACCAAAUGCGAAGGCUUUCUACUAAAACACUCCUGACGCUGAGAGACGAAAGCGUGGGUAGCGAAUGGGAUUAGAUACCCCAGUAGUCCACGCCGUAAACGAUGGAUGCUUGACAUUGGAAGUUUCGACCCUUUCAGUGUCGCUUAACCAAGUUAACACCUUAAGCAUCCCGCCUGGGGAGUACGGCCGCAAGGCUAAA
This 383-nucleotide ribosomal RNA is filed under the name uncultured bacterium. Its description in RNAcentral is "bacterial SSU rRNA". It matches the Rfam family "Bacterial small subunit ribosomal RNA", at positions 524 to 898 of the family's 1533-position model. The record is from RNAcentral.